GGAAUUUCUAGUGUAGGAGUGAAAUCCGUAGAUAUUAGAAGGAACACCAAUGGCGUAGGCAGGUUACUGGACCAUUUCUGACGCUAAGGCACGAAAGCGUGGGGAGCGAACUGGAUUAGAUACCCAGGUAGUCCACGCCGUAAACGAUGGAUACUAGCUGUUGGAGGUAUCGACCCCUUCAGUAGCGAAGCUAACGCGUUAAGUAUCCCGCCUGUGGAGUACGGCCGCAAGGCUAAAACAUAAAGGAAUUGACGGGGACCCGCACAAGCGGUGGAUCAUGUUCUUUAAUUCGAUGAUAAACGAAGAACCUUACCAGGGUUUGACAUCCCGAGAAGAUUUACGAAAGUAAAUUGUGCCUUUUGGAACUCGGUGACAGAUGAUGCAUGGCCGUCGUCAGCUCGUGUCGU
Molecule: ribosomal RNA, 407 nt
Filed under: Candidatus Saccharimonadota bacterium
Lineage: Bacteria; Candidatus Saccharimonadota
Description: bacterial SSU rRNA
Rfam family: Bacterial small subunit ribosomal RNA
Source: RNAcentral